UAUCUGCACUAGGGGUGUUCUUAGAAGAACUGAGAUACGCUUGUUCAGCGUGAUCCCUUUGAACCUGUAAGUUAGUACUUGCGAAGGAAAGUGUUUAAUUGUUGAA
Non-coding RNA from Pediococcus pentosaceus ATCC 25745, 106 nucleotides. The record is from Rfam. Lineage: Bacteria; Bacillati; Bacillota; Bacilli; Lactobacillales; Lactobacillaceae.